RNAcentral lists this ribosomal RNA (200 nucleotides) under uncultured prokaryote. RNAcentral describes it as "partial 16S ribosomal RNA". It matches the Rfam family "Bacterial small subunit ribosomal RNA", at positions 1182 to 1382 of the family's 1533-position model. The record is from RNAcentral.
AUGUCAAAUCAUCAUGCCCUUUAUGUCCUGGGCUACACACGUACUACAAUGGCUGUUACAGAGAGAAGCGAAGCAGAGAUGUUAAGCGAAACUAGAAAGACAGUCACAGUUCGGAUUGUAGGCUGAAAUUCGCCUACAUGAAGCCGGAAUUGCUAGUAAUUGCAGGUCAGCAUACUGCAGUGAAUACGUUCCCGGGCCUU